RNAcentral lists this ribosomal RNA (301 nucleotides) under uncultured bacterium. Its description in RNAcentral is "partial 16S ribosomal RNA". It matches the Rfam family "Bacterial small subunit ribosomal RNA", at positions 509 to 807 of the family's 1533-position model. The record is from RNAcentral.
CAGCCGCCGCGGGAAUACGAAGGGGGCUAGCGUUGUUCGGAAUUACUGGGCGUAAAGCGCACGUAGGCGGAUUGUUAAGUCGGGGGUGAAAUCCUGAGGCUCGACCUCAGAACUGCCUUCGAUACUGGCGAUCUUGAGUUCGGAAGAGGUUAGUGGAACAGCUAGUGUAGAGGUGAAAUUCGUAGAUAUUAGCUAGAACACCAGUGGCGCAGGCGGCCAACUGGUCCGACACUGACGCUGAGGUGCGAAAGCGUGGGGAGCAAACAGGAUUAGAUACCCGCGUAGUCCCUGUCUCUUAUAC